Molecule: unclassified non-coding RNA, 273 nt
Filed under: Hevea brasiliensis (rubber tree)
Lineage: Eukaryota; Viridiplantae; Streptophyta; Magnoliopsida; Malpighiales; Euphorbiaceae
Source: RNAcentral
GUCAACUCAACAUGUAUAUAUAUAUAGAACAAACCUACUAUUGUUAUUAUUAUUUACAAAAGACACCGAGGAAAACUUAAAUUUGACACUUCACCCCCCAAGCGUGCAAUAAACAAAUUUCUACAGUCACACAGGUUAUAUAAAUAAAACCUUGGAAAGAUGCAUCCAAGUUCCACUCGUGUGAAUUAGCUCUCUUCUAUAUAUAUAUACAUGUUGAGUUGACCUUCAUACUGAUAAUAUAGAUUUUGACCCUCACCUAAACCUCAUAUCCUG